GGUACCACGAGCUGGGCAGCUGGCACUCUCCAAAAGGUGGAUUUGCUGGGAGGAAAACUUCACCCCGGCCAUUAGCAAAGUGUUUCCGACAGGUGAGUCAGUCGGACACUGGGGCGCACUUCUUAAUGAGUUCGUUUCUGGCGUCAGCUUUUAAGGGAAAAGGUUAUGUAAGACGGAAAGAAGAAAGGGGCUUAUCUGUCCUCCCCACACUUUGUCGCUCAAAAUAGCAGCAGGUCAUCCCCAGGGAUGCUUCCAAUUUUGGAUUUGGCAGUCCCGUGAUACGAAAGGUUUCCAUGCCUGCCAAGGCAGGAUUUAACCCGUCGAGCCAAAAACUGCUUUUUGAGCGUGGAAUUCCCCCAGCGCUUCAUGGACUUAUUAGUAAAGAGUGCCUCUGAGAAUGUGCAGCGGGCCUUUUCCUGCGGGCUAUAUGACUGCUGCCAGGUUCAUCAUAUGCCAGCUGCUUUCAGAGGCAGAGAGUUUAGCUCAUGAGUAGGCAAACUAAGGCCCGGGGGCUGGAUCCGGCCCAAUCGCCUUCUAAAUCUGGCCCAUGGACAGUCUGGGAAUCAACGUGUUUUUACAUGAGUAGAAUAUGUCCUUUUAUUUAAAAUGCAUUUCUGGGUUAUUUGUGGGGCCUGCCUGGUGUUUUUACAUGGGUAGAAUGUGUCUUUUUAUUUAAAAUGGGAUAUUUGUGGGGUAUAGGGAUUCGUUCAUUCCCCCCCAAAAAAGUAUAGUCCGGCCCCCCACAAGGUCUGAGGGACAGUGGACUGGCCCUCUCCUGAAAAAGUUUGCUGACCCCUGGUAUAGCUUCUUAAACACAGGUUCCUACUGUGGAGAACAAGCUGCUUCUUUUAAAAAUUCAGAUAUGGAUCAGGCUUCCCACAUGUAAAGUCACUCGAAUAAGUAUGAGACAAAUCUCCAGUCUUCUUUGUUGACGAAUUGAUCCUGUCUGCCAAGCUGCCUGCUUGCCUCUUAACCUGUUGUACAAGACUGCCACAUCCCUUUAUGAAACUGACCCUCUCAAGAUAUCCCUGGACUUCCCAUAGUUUGUGGAGCACAGGAAAUAUAAGAACCUAAGAAGAAGAGGGGACGUGGGUGGCGCUGUGGGUUAAACCACAGAGCCUAGGGCUUGCCGAUCAGAAGGUCGGAGGUUCAAAUCCCCGCGAUGGGGUGAGCUCCCGUUGCUCGGUCAUUGCUCCUGCCAACCUAACAGUUUGAAAGCACAUCAAAGUGCAAGUAGAUAAAUAGGUACCGCUCCGGCGGGAAGGUAAACGGCGUUUUCGUGUGCUGCUCUGGUUCGCAGAAGCGGCUUAGUCAUGCUGGCAACAUGAUCCGGAAGCUGCACGCCGGCUCCCUCGGCCAAUAAAGCAAGAUGAGCGCCGCAACCCCAGAAUCAGCCAAGACUGGACCUAAUGGUCAGGGGUCCCUUUACCUUUGCCUUACUCAUAAGAUGAUGAUGAUGAUAGGAACUGUCUGGGAAACAGAGGGUGCUUUUGUAUUAGAGUUUCUGAGUCUUGGGAAGUUUAGGGGGUCUGCUAGGGAAAAAAUCAGUCUGCUUUGAUCUUGGACAAUGAAAAGGCAGCUGGAAUUUAGCCUAGCUUUCCCCAGCAAUUUGUGUGCAGGUCAGACCUAGGAGUGCGGGGUGCACUGGCUCAGAACAAUUAAAACUGCACUUGUUUGUUAAGGCCUGCAGGAAGCUUUCAGAUAUUCAAGCAAUAUCCAGGGUGCCCCACAAAGACAGAGCUGGAACUAUUCUUCUUUUCUGCGCUUCAAGGGCUUCCUAACAGCCAACAAGAGCAGCCGAAGCAGCCCCCAGGUACUCCAUGCCACCCAGAUGAAGUCAUCGCAGGCAGACCAGGUUGGCCAGAGCCCACGAAACGCCACCCUCACCUGCUGUGUGUUUGGAUAGCAGAAUGGGGACAAGGUGUGCUGGAGGAGCUUCCAGUUCCCUGGCCAAAACAGAACAAAAUGUGACUUUUUGACACUGGGAGUUUGGCCAGUAAACAUAUUGUGACAUGAUACCCUAAUCUCCGCGAGGCGGGAGACUUCAGGGGUUCCUGGUGUUGGCAUGAAGCUCAAUGGAGGCUGAUGUCUUUAGAAUCAUAGAAUUGUAGAGGGACCGCAAGGGUCAUCUUGUCCAACCCCUACAAUGCAGGAAUCUUUGGCCCAAUGUUGCAUUCUGUGUCCGACUGACCCUGGAAACUGCUGAGAAUUCCCUUCCACCUUAAGGAACAGGCAUGGGAUUGUUACGUGUCACAUGUCUGUUUACAUUCCAGCACAGUAUGCUAGGAACUUCCGUGGUGUGUAUAGCUUUUGCUUUUAGCUGUUCCCUCUGAGACGAGGAGGGAGAGAGACAACAUGUUUCUUUCUCCUGAUUUAUGAUUAAUAAAUCUAUAGUUGUCGUAUGCUUCCACAAGCCUCACGCCUAUUCUGUGUGCGCAGUUUGAUCUGCUGAUAGUGUGCCCUGGCUGAGUAAGCCCUGGUCGCUGAUUUCCGUCAGAGCAGAGGUGAUGGUCUUUGCAUUGGGCAGCUGGAAGGAGACGACCCAGCCAGGGCUAGCCAGCUGGCCUCCCGGCCCUCUGCAUGUCGACAGAAACUUCUACAUGCAGGGCAGCUGCUCUAGCAAUGGGCUAUGGCCCUUCCCCAAGCAAAUGGAGCUGCCUUUUUCCAAGUCAGACCAGUGCUCCAUUCUAGCUCAGUACUGCCUACCAGGCAUGGCCAAAGUUGGCCCUUCAGCUGUUUUGGGACUACAACUCCCAUCAUCCCUAGCUAUCAGGACCAGUGGUCAGGGAUGAUGGGAACUGUAGUCCCAAAACAGCUGGAGGGCCAACUUUGGCCAUGCCUGAUACACUGACUGGCAGCCAGGAGUCUUCCCCACACCUACCUGGAGAUGUUGGAGGACCUUUUCCAUGCAAGGCAGCUGCACUGCCACUCAGCUACAGCCCUUUCACUGUUGAUAUGAUGUCAUCAGCAUGCUCAGCAUUGCCCAAUCCCCAGCAGCCUGCUUGAUUGGCAGCCGCUAGCGGGAAAGGCAGUGAAACUCUGAGUGCGGUGAUGUCACUGGGCAGCUGCCAGAAAGGUUAAACAGAGAGAGAGAGAUGGAAAGAGAUUGCCAGGUGUUUGUCUGCUGUGGGGAUUACCACACUUGCGCCAUCACACGUUGCCUGAGCUUAAUAAUUCAAGGUUUAUUUAUUACCAUAACGGUUGAUUACUGUUUACUGUAGAUGGGGUGAAUGAGGUUGUUGGAUGAACACGGGACCAGAGUCGUCUCAGGACUGGGCUUUCCGCCCUGAGACACAAGGCAGUGGACCGCGAGAGACCGUGCAAAGGUUGAGAGCGAGGCAGGCCUUGGUAGCACAAGUCAGGAGCAACCUUAAAACGGUCCCUGGCGCUUAUCCCUGCUUCACCCCAAUGAACUCUGGGACCCAGGACACUUUUUGCAAGAACAUCCAACUCCUGCCAAAUGUAACCACAGGUUUUCAAGGAGGUGCGGAGUGCUUUUGUGUUUGUUUUUUCUUAACAUUGAAUUAAGAAAUUCAUUUAUUUACCAGCUCCAUCUGGUACGCAGGCUGAGACCCUAUCUGCCCACAGGCUAUCUCACCAGAGUGGUGCAUGUUCUAGUUAUCUCCCACUUGGACUACUGCAAUGCGCUCUAUGUGGGGCUACCUUUGAAGGUGACCUGGAAACUACAAGUAAUCCAGAAUGUGGCAGCUAGACUGGUGACUGGGAGCAGCUGCCGAGACUACGUAACACCGGUCCUGAAAGACCUUCAUUGGCUCCCAGUACAUUUCCGAGCACAAUUCAAAGUGUUGAUGCUGACAUUUAAAGCCCUAAAUGGCCUUGGCCCAGAAUACCUGAAGGAGCGUCUCCACCCCCAUCGUUCAGCCUGGACACUGAGGUCCAGUGCCCAGGGCCUUCUGGCGGUUCCCUCGCUGCAAGAAGUCAAGUUACAGGGAACCAGGCAGAGGGCCUUCUCGGUAGUGGCACCUGCCCUGUGGAACGCCCUCCCACCAGAUGUCAAAGAGAAAAACAACUACCAGACUUUUAGAAGAGAUCUAAAGGCAGCCCUGUUUCGGGAAGUAUUUAAUGUUUGACGGACUAUUGUAUUUUAAUAUUUUGUUGGAAGCCACCCAGAGUGGCUGGGGAAACCCAACCAGAUGGGUGGGGUAUAAAUAAUAAGUUGCUGUUGUUGUUGUUAUCCUUACUUGCUAUAUAUUUUAGAAAAAUCAUUUUUCUGUAUACAUCCAGACACCGCUUAAGAUACCUUCACCAGAUUUGGCACAAAUUGGGCAGGCUUUUGUCGAGGUUUGAGGGGCAAAAUGGCGGACUCGGCCUUCCGCAAAUGAACUGAUUUAGAAGCCUCUUCAGUUUCUUCCAUCAAAUUUGUCACAGCGGCUCCUGAGAUCAAGACGUAUGCUUUGUCUGUGUUUAGAUACCUGCCGUGACCUCCGGAAUAUAGCAGUUUCUCAGCCUGUAAGAAUCCCACAAGUGGAACAUGAGUCCAACAUAAGAAAAGCCCGCUGGAUCAGGCCAAGGGCUCACCUAGUCCAGCAUCCUGUUCUCGCAGUGGCCAACCAGAUGCCUGUGAGAAACCCGCAAGCAGAAUUCGAAUUUUCUUCUGUGGGAAGAAAAGAACUGUGUGAACACAUGGUCCGUCCUGCACCUGCCAAACUAGCCUGGAGGGCUGGAGGGCACUAUUCUAUUGCCAAUGCCGAAGUCAUCUUCUGUAUGGGGAAUGGGAGGAAGGUGGGUUCGGGUACCAUCUUGCAGGCCGCAAAUUGCCUUGGGCCGGCCCUACCGUUGGACAGUGUUAGAGGGGGCACUAUGGCCGUGUUUGCAUGCCCCGCCCUCCACUUCCAUGUGUUGAUUGGCCGUAGGUGUGUGUGCGUUUCAAGCCUACCCAUGUGGGAGCCUUACACAUGCAGGAAUUCUCUCCACGCGACCCGACACCCCGCGAUUGAUUUUCGCCCGGGGCAUCAAAAUAGCUGGAGCUGACCUAAUCCUGCAAGCUGUGACCUGGAGCUAGGAAACCUCUCUCUUUCUCUCUCUACACACACAAUGUGUCGAAGUUUAUCCUUUCCAAUUUGGGCCCAAUUGUUCCCACGUCUCCCAUGCUUGCACACCUUUAAGUAGAUUUUCCCAAAGAGACCGUCACAGCGAGGGAUCUGAGCACCAGGAAGCCAAAUAACAAUACAAGCCAAUAUGAUUUCCCGUGCCUUUUGGACAAACACUCCUCUAUAAAAAGGGUUUUCAAGCUGUCUCGUUCCCUCCUCCAGCAACACCCCACCUUGCGGAGCCCGUUCACGUGGCUCUCAUUUCAGCCCGGCCAAUUCUUCAUUAUCAAUCUUGGCCGGCUUUGUAAAUACACAGAGAAUAUCUCGAUUGUUCCCGUAUUAGAGACAGCGGAGCCCUGGCGGUGAUGAGAAAUUACAGGAGCAAGGGCGAAGCUAUGCUGAAAGAAAACCGCUGUCUAAAUAAAGGCCACGGAUGCGCUCUUGUUUUCAAACAUUUGUGGGUAAACCUUCCGCCCGCUAGCUGAUAAACUGGAACGGCUGUGGUGGCCUUUUUGAACGGGAGUGUGUGUUAUUUUCAGGCAUGUGACCGGCGGGGAACAUUUACCGGUAAUCUUGUUCUCCAACAAAUCCUUUUCACACCUGCAAUAGGAGAACUGGAAAUGACAUCUGUAUGCAGUGCUUUUUUCUGUGGGGGGGACGCAGGGGUACGCAUACCCCUAAACAUUUUGUGAAUCUAACGGGAGAAGAAAUUAAAAAUCUUUAAAAAUUUAGUUUCUUCUCUAGCAUGGUGAAUUGUCAGUUUGGUUGCUACCCCUGAUGGCGGCUUCCUUUUCUUUCCCCUUAUUUCCUGAGUCUCAGACGGAAGCGAGAGUACCCCUAAACAUUUUUUAUAGAAAGAAAGCCCUGUCUGUAUGAACUAGGACAAGAGCAUGUGAGUCUAAGCUGACUUCAGCUAUAUGUAUUAGUGAAAGCAUCUCCCUUUAAAAUGUUACUGAAAAUUUUAGUGCAAGAAACAAACCCUGCUUUGUGAAAUUGGGCAUGGCCACGGAAGAAGUGAAUAGGAAACAGUUUUCCUCCAUCUCUCCUAACACUCAAAUACAGUGGUACCUUGGGUCUCAGACGCCUUGGUAUUCAAACAACUUGGAACCCAAACACUGCAAACCCAGAACUAAGUGUUCCGGUCUGCGAACUUUUUUCAGAAGCUGAACGUGCUCCAUUUUGAGUGUUACGCUUCCAAUUUGAGUUCCACAGUUCCAUUUUGAGUGUUACACUGAGGUCUGUCUGUUUUUGCUAUUUAUUUUGCGUUUUUGUUUUUGCAGCUUUUUUGUUUUGUUUUGUUUUUGUGACUGUGUGGAACCAGUUCAGCUACUGAUUGAUUGAUUGAUUGAUUGAUUGAUUGAUUGACUGCAGUACAGUGGUACCUUGGGUUACAUACACUUCGGGUUACAUACGCUUCAGGUUACAGACUCCGCUAACCCAGAAAUAGUGCUUCAGGUUAAGAACAGUUUCAGGUUAAGAACGGACCUCCAAAAUGAAUUAAAUACUUAAUACCACUGCACAUUGUUUCUUGCUUUCAUUUUAUGGAUCUCAUUAGAUAGCAAAAUUCAUGUUAUAUUGCUGUUUUAGGGGUUGUUUUUAAAAGUCUGGAACGGAUUAAUCCAUUUUGCAUUACUUUCUAUGGGAAAGCGUGCCUUGGUUUUGGAACGCUUUGGUUUUGGAACGGACUUCCGGAACGGAUUAAGUUUGAGAACCAAGGUACUGCUGUAUCUCAAGAGCUGUCACAUAGAAGAUGGAGCAAGCUUGUUUUCUCCUGCUCUGGAGAGUAGGACAUGAAACAACGGAUUCAAGUCACAAGAGAGGAGGUCCCAACUAAACAUGAGGAAGAACUUUCUGACAGUAAGAACUGUUCAACAGUGGAACAAACUCCUAUGAGAGGUGUUGGACUCUCCUUCCUUUGAGGUUUUUAAGCAGAGGCUGGAUGGUCACCUCUCAAGGAUGCUAUAGUUGAGAUUCCUGCAUUGCAGGGUCCUUUCCAACUUCACCAUUCUAUGAUUCUAUGCUUAAAGGUAAAGGUAAAGGGACCCCUGACAGUUAAGUCCAGUCGCAGACGACUCUGGGGUUGUGGCGCUCAUCUCGCUUUACUGGCCGAGGGAGUCGACGUUUGUCCGCAGAGUUUUUCCGGGUCAUGUGGCCAGCAUGACUAAGCCGCUUCUGGCGAACUAGAGCAGCACACAGGAACACCGUUUACCUUCCCACUGGAGUGGUACCUAUUUAUCUACUUGCACUUUGACGUGCUUUUGAACUGCUAUGUUGGCAGGAGCUGGGACCGAGCAAUGGGAGCUCACCCCGUCGUGGGGAUUCAAACCGCCGACCUUCUGAUCGGCAAGCCCAAGAGGCUCAGUGGUUUAGACCACAACGCCACCUGUGCCCCGUGAUUCUAUGCUUAGACCCAUUUAAAGCACUAUGAUGCCACUUUAAACAGUCACAGCUCCCCCCCCCCAAAAAAAAAUCCUGGGAACUGUAGUUGGUUAAGGGUGCUGAGAGUACUUACAAGGCCCCCCUUUCCCUCCCAGAACUACAAUUCCCAGAGCCGUUUAACCAUCAGUCCCACUUCUUAGGGAACUCUGGGAACUGUAGUCCAGGGAGGGGACUAGGGACCUCCCCAAAAGUCUCAGCUCCUAUGAUUCUUUAUGGGAAGCCAUGACUGCUUAAAGUGCUAUCAUGGUGCUUUAAUUGCAUGGUGUGAAUGUGGACCAGGGAUGAGGAACUUGUGGCCUUGCAGGUGUUUCUGGACUACAGAUCCCAUCAUCCCUGACUUUGGGUUGUGCUGGCUGGGGCUGAUGAGACUUGGAGUUCAACAACAACUGGGGACCACCAGUAUCCCCAUCAGCCGUUGAAAUCUGUGGGACGAGUAAGUACCUUUGAUUUCAGUAGGUCUACUCUAAGCAAUUCAAACCAGUGGCUCGUCGCACCAACAGGUGUCGCCAGCCAAGAGAAGGUGAAGACAAGACAGAGUUUUUCAUAGUACCGUAUUUUUUGCUCUAUAAGACGCACCAGACCAUAAGACGCACCUAGUUUCUGGAGGAGGAAAACAAGAAAAAAAUAUUCUGAAUCUCAGAAGCCAGAACAACAAGAGGGAUCGCUGCGCAGCAAAAGCAGCGAUCCCUCUUGCUGUUCUGGCUUCUGGGAUAGCUGUGCAGCCUGCAUUCACUCCAUAAGACGCACACACAUUUCCCCUUACUUUUUAGGAGGGAAAAAGUGAGUCUUGUAGAGCAAAAAAUACGGUAAUUUUGGACAAGAGUGUAGGAAAUUUACCAGACAUUGUACACUAUCUCUCCCUCACACCUGCCCUUGUGGCUUUUGGAAGCGAGCGACAAAAGUUUCCCAGGAAGUCCUAGCAGGGGGUUCACAACAAUGAAUGGUGAGUUAAGCAUUAAUUACAUGCUGAAGAAAUUACAGUCAUCCACCAGCUGAUAAGGGUUUGCAAAUAUUUGGGCAUAUGAAAGGCUGAGGAGGAGAUAUUACAUAACCAAAUAAAAGGAAGGAAGCGGUUCUCAGUUUAUUUGUGUUUGAACAAUUCAGAGAUAUGGGAACUCAACGUGAGAAAAGCCUUGCCAUAUCAGAGCAAGGUCAAAAGCCUUGUUUCUCCACAGAGCCAGUCAGGUGCUUUCCGAGAGAAACAGAGAAGAGUAGAAAGGUGGCUUGUAUAUUUAGAUUUCCUUUGUUCGUUACCUGUAUGCACCACCGUUCCAUCGAAAAAAGGCCCAAGGCAGUUUGCAACCGUAAAAUCCGCAACAGAAAAUAACCAAUCCACAUAACACAGUGUUAUAAGAAUUUUAAGGUCUCAAAUAUAAAAUAAAUAUUCAUAUCUAAAUAUAUGAACCAUGUGUCUGAAACAGUAUGGGAGAGCAAUCCAGAAGCCAUUUUGACUCUCCCAAUGACCUCAAAUAUUCCUCUGCAGUAAAGGAGGAAAAUAAGGAAAACCUUCCUUCCCAUUGUCCUUUUGCUUGCAAAUCCUGUUUUAAGGGUGUAUUUGUGUAUGAAUUGGGUGAGCCUGUGACCUGGACUCAAGAACUAAAGUAUUAACCAUCACAAAAGAACGGUCAGGCUGCCCAGGUAGAGCAAUCAGUGACCAUUAUAAGGUAUCCUGGCAGAUAGGAUUUCUGCUGUAGACAGCCUCCUUCUGUGAUGUAUGCAUGAUGUGUGCUUUUUUCGGGGGGGGGGGUCUUGGGCUACACUGUGGGCAAUUUCAAAAGACUAUAUAAGGACUUGCGCACCAUUGUUCAGGGUUCUCCUCCCUCCUGUGUGCGGUGAGUGGGGACCCCGUUGCAACAGGUCUUUUAAUAAAGAUCAGGCUUACUAGCCACUUUGCUUUUCAAUAUACUCUGGCUGGCCUGUUUUCUUCUACUAAUAGGGAACCCACUUAAGGACUCUAUUCAGGCUCCAGAAUACCCCAUAAGGGAAAGGGAGCCGUUUUUCUUAUAACAGUCACCAGUAACACAAAUAACAGCAGGCGCGAAAUCAGGAAAAGUGAGUUAGAAUCCUAAUUUACUUAAGAACACAGAGAGCAGAAGAAAAGAGAAAGUCUUCUGUGGAGAAGGGAGAUGUUCAGGAGAACUUCUUUCACACCCUUCUUCCUUGCUCAACUGCUGCACAACACUAGACAGGACUGUGAACAUGCUGGGAAGGUGGACUUGGGGGAGCACAUCUUUGUUUGAGACUCUAUUCUGCCAUGCGAUGCCCAAAAUCAAAACACCCUGCUUGUCCUGGACUGGUUGGACACAGAGGAGUGGUGGGAAAAACCAGCUGGGGAACCCCCAAGGGAAAAAGGCUCAGAGUCAAGGUGAUACAACCUUUAGAACACACCUGAAGGCAGCCGUGCCUAGGGAAGUUUUUACACGUUUCAUAUUUUAUUAUGUUUUUAGGGCUGGGCACAAAAGUGCCAAAAUAAGCUUAGGGCUUAUAAUCUUCAAAUGGAGAACUACUUAGCCCUUAGCCCAUGUGACCUUAGAAACUGGAUUUUUGAUCAGGAUGCCAACCAAGACAGAGCCUCCAUCAUUGUUGCCUGUUACUGUACUUGGUACCCCCAAAUUAAGACCACUCACUCAAGGCACAGGAUAUUGGAUAUAACAUUAUGUUUGCUGACUGGGAAUGGUUAUGGACCACAGGUACGAAGUUCACAGCAUGUAAUGCUUUAAAAGAGAAUAUUAUGAAAAUGGUGUACAGGUGGUACAUGACCCCAGUUAAGCUUGCAAAAAUCUACCAUUUGCCCGACAAUAAAUGUUGGAAAUGUAAGGAAACUGAAGGUACAUUCUUUCACCUUUGGUGGACGUGCCCAAAGAUUAAGGCCUUCUGGGAAAUGAUAUAUAAUGAGUUGAAAAAGGUAUUUAAGUAUACCUUCUUAAAGAAACCAGAGGCCUUCCUCUUGGGCAUUGUUGGCCAAUUGGUGCCAAAGAAAGAUAGAAUUUUCUUUAUGUAUGCAACAGCAGCAGCAAGAAUACUCAUCGCAAAGUAUUGGAAGACACAGGACUUACCCACUCUGGAAGAAUGGCAGAUGAAGGUAAUCGAAUAUAUGGAACUGGCGGAGAUAACUGGCAGAAUCCGUGACCAGGGAGAAGAGUCGGUGGAAGAAGAUUGGAAGAAAUUUAAAGUUUAUUCACAGAAAUACUAUAAAAUUAAUGAAUGUUAAAUUGAAGUUUGAUUGAAAAUAACUGGUAUUGGCAAAAGCCUUGGGAUUAAGAGUAUGGAAUAUUUGACUGAUAAGGUUGUAAAAAUAUUUAUAUACAAAUAGAUUAAGUUUUCUGAGUUAAGAUAAUGAAAGGAGGGUAAGGAUUUGCUGAAAGAAGUUCUUAAAUGGAAAUACAAGCGGGGAGGUGCGGGGAAGUCAAAGAACCAGGUAAAGAUAAGAAGGAUAAAUGAAAGUAUAAUAUUCUUUGAAUUUUUUUUUGUCCCCUUUUCUUUUUUUCCUUCUUCUUUUUUUUUUUGUUACGGUUAUUUCUGUUUGUUUUUUGUCAUGGUCAUUGUUGUUUUUUGUUUGUUGAAUUUUUGUAAUUCUGUAUUUUGUAUUUUUUUGGAAAUUUUUCUUGUAAAACCAAUAAAUAUUUUAUAAAAAAAAAAAAAAGACCACUCACUCAAGGCCCCAUUACCUUGAGACUCUGACCUUCCCACAACUACGCAGGGCCUUUGCAGAACUAAGAUUCCAACAGAUGCCCUCGGCAUAUCAAAUCAAAUCAAAUCAAAUAUCUUUAAUACGGUCAGUGACCAGGAAGCAAUUUAUAAAAUAUGACAUUAAGAGUAGUAUUGUGCUACAAGUAACAGUAAAAAUAUGGCCAAUUCACAGAAUUGGUGCUUAUAUUUAUGACCAGGUUUCGAGUUUUAAGUUUUUAAAAUUCAAUUCAGGAGUCGCUACUGUUUAUUAUCAUUCCUUCGAUGUUUACAGUUUGAACUCCUUUGUAGACAUCAUUGCUCGUCUUAUUCUUGUUGCAAUGUAACAGUACUUUGCCACGGACCUGUUAAUUUCGGGCUCUUUGUCAGCUAAGAGGUGUCUGAUAUAGGUGUCGUCUGUACUACGAGGUAUUUUCCUCAGAAUCGGUUCGAUCAGCUCUUUUCUUGAGUCUCGAUAUAAUGGGCAGUAUAAGAUGACAUGCCCAAUGGUUUCGAUUUCAUUGCUGUUACAGGGACAUAAUCUUUGUUCGAUCGGUAUUUUAUUGUAUCUUCCCUCUAGAAGAGCUGAAGGGAGAGCGUUAAAACGGGCCCUGGAAAAUGCCCAUCGGUGUUUAGCGUUGUCUAGAACUUUGAGAUAGUUUGCUAAAUGGGGCCUUUGGGAAUUGUAUAGAAGUUUAUAAGUUAUCGGAAGUUGGUUAAAGUCAUUUUGGGUUUCAAUGUCCCUGAGUCUUUCUUUGAUUAUGUUCUUGGCCCUUCCCCUUUCUAAACUUAAUAAAUACUCUGGGGAGAGACCAUAUGUGGCCAGUUUUCUGAGAAUGCCCUUCAACCAGCUAGAUUGGAAUUUGUCAAGAAGCAUCAGGGAAAGUAGUCCAACCGGCGAGUUGUUAAGUCUUAGCCAAGUGCAUAAGGUUCUUAUCCAUACUUUGGUUUUAAUGCUGUAUAAGCCCUUGGCAUAUUUAGAGGGGAGAUAUCGGGGAAUUCCUCCAUAUGGCUCGCAAAUGCAUAUAUGGAUGCAAUCAGGUAGAGGACAUCACAUACUAUCUGGUGAUAAAAAAAAUAAGAUCGUGGCCAGUGGUCACCUCCUGGCAAAUAGAAGGGGAAGAAAUGGAGGCAGUGAGAGAUUUUACUUUCUUGGGUUCCAUGAUCACUGCAAAUAGUGACAGCAGUCACGAAAUUAAAAGACGCCUGCUUCUUGGGAGAAAAGUGAUGACAAACCUAGACAGCAUCUUAAAAAGCAGAGACAUCACCUUGCCAACAAAGGUCUGUAUAGUUAAAGCUAUGGUUUUCCCAGUAGUGAUGUAUGGAAGUGAGAGCUGGACCAUAAAGAAGGCUGAUCUCCGGAGAAUUGAUGCUUUUGACUUCUGGUGCUGGAGGAGACUCUUGAGAGUCCCAUGGACUGCAAGAAGAUCAAACCUCUCCAUUCUGAAGGAAAUCAGCCCUGAGUGCUCACUGGAAGGACAGAUCCUGAAGCUGAGGCUCCAAUACUUUGGCCACCUCAUGAGAAGAGAAGACUCCCUGGAAAAGACCCUGAUGCUGGGAAAGAUGGAGGGCACAAGGAGAAGCGGAUGACAAAGGACGAGAUGGCUGGAUAGUGUUCUUGAAGCUACCAGCAUGAGUUUGACCAAACUGCGGGAGGCAGUGGAAGACAGGAGUGCCUGGCGUGUUCUGGUCCAAGGGGUCACGAAGAGUCGACACGACUAAACGACAAUACAAUGCCCAGAGGAAAAUUUAUAUCGCCAAUUCUUAAUUGGCUUCCAGGUCGAUCUGCACAGAAGCAAUAGUUGAACUCCUAGCAGAUAAACAUCUAUAUAUUACCCACCAGGGAGCCAGAUUUGCGCUGGCAGCCAAGAAGCUCCAUUUCAGGUUUGUGAAUGCAUUCCAAUUUAAAAAUUUAAUGUUGCACAUUUCUUUUUAUGUCAUAAACAGGCUACGUUGUAUGAUCUUAGAGGAAAGUUUUCCUUUUAUUCUCUGUUGUCCAUUGUAAAGGCCUUUGGCUAUAUAUAAUAAAAUUGACCAGACAGAGGUUUGCUCCAUUUAAAAAAAAAGGUUUUAUAUAAAUUUGAAGCUGCCCAGAGUAGCUGGGGCAACCCAGCCAGAUGAGUGGGGUAUUACUGAUUAUUAUUAUGGAAUAGGAUGUCCCUAUUUCCAUUGGAGAAAUAUUGGAUUUGUUAUGUGGGCCCACCUGUGCGAGCCACGAGACUCGAGACAAUGAACAUCCUUGAGUGGGGCUCAUUUCGUCUAGCCAAGGCUGGAGCUCGUAUGGAAGAAUUUUGCUUUAUGGGGCUCAGAAUCGUCUGGUGGGAGGAUCUGGCCAAAGGAGUGAUCUGUUUUCCCGGAGCUUAUCUGGCCUGUUUUCUUGGCUGACCAGGCCAGCUGCUGCUCUCAUCGGACGGAGCUGAUAGAGACGAGUUGUGACCAUUAUGUGCCGGUCAAAAUGACUUUGGGGAGAUUGCAGCCCAUUGCAAAAUCAGCUCAGGGCCGGCCAGAUGUGGUUCUCUAAGCGCAAACAAGGGAAGGGGCAGUUAAAGGGAAAGAUCCAGGACUAGGCUACAGGAGCAGGAUCAGUGCCGGAUUUACAUAUAAAUGAAUAAGCUAUAGCUUAGGGCCCCAUUCUUUUGGGGGUGCCCAAAAAAAUUAAAGGAAAAAAACUGGAUGUUCAUUUCCAAAAUAUAAGAUAAAAAGACCAUUACUUUGAUAAAAUACAUAUUUUGUUAUGUGCAAAUGGCUUUUGAUACCUAUUAGGUCCAUAAAUUACCAUAUAGCAUAUAUUCAACAGAAAAAACAGCGACAAUUUGUUGUUGACAAAGGACAGCUGGACAUAUAAAGGGCCCCAUUACCUUCAGUAGCUUAGGGCCUCAUCAAACCUCAAUCCGGCCCUGGCAAGGAUAAAUACCAUUUAAGGACAGUGUCAAUAGCAAGUUUAGGGGGCUAGGGCCAAGCAGGAGGCAGAGCUUGACGCAGAAUGAGAAAGUAGCUAGAGGAGAGGAAGUGUGGUGUAGUGGUUAGAGUGUCGGACUAGGUUCUGGGAGACCCAGGUUUGAAUCCCCACACAGCCAGUGCACUGGCUUUCCUUGGAAGCUAAUCACUGCCCCUCACCUACCUCACAAGGUUGUUGUAGGGAUUAAAUGAGGAGGGGAAGAACCACGUACAGAAUUCCAGCCAGGCAACUGAGGAAGAUUCGGAGCAGAAGUGGCAAAGGGUGUGGUUCGGGGAGAGUUUUGAGGGCCGGACUGAGAAGUCUGGAGGGCCACAUUCAAGCUUGUGGAACCUGGUUUUAGAGCCACCAGACAAGUUUUUAAAACAUAAAAAUAAAAAAAUCAAGGUUCUAGAGAAAGAGGGGGAGCAAUUUGUUUUUGUUUGCCUUUAAAGGCAUAACUAUGCAAGUUUCACUUUCCAAAUCAGCAUGUGGACCGAAACUCAGCCAUCCUUUGAAAUUCAUACUUCUCUGAAUUCUGCAACGCAGUUCUCCAGCCAAGGAAGUCUGCAAAAAUGCAUGUCGUGUGUAAAAUCAGCAUACAAAUGCAUAUAUUGGUGAAAAGGGCAUGCAAAAUGCAUUAUGUCAGGGGAAAUUGCUGGACCCCGUUCGCAUCCAGAGAUACCACUGUAUUAAUUAUUAUUAUUAUUAUUAUUAGGAUUGAAGUUGCUGAGCAUUUUCCCGGAUUUUACCCCAGGACAUAUCCUGCCGUGGGGGCCAGAUUAAAUCGACCGGUGGGCUGGAUUAGGCCCCCAAAACGAACUUUGGACAUGCCUGCCCUACAACCUGGACUGCAGUCCCUAAAACAGUUGGAUGGUGACUUGUACUCCUCCUUCCGGCAACAUCCGCAGCCCAGCUGGUGCCAAAUGUCUUGCUCUGCUUUCCUUUGGACCCCAUCAGCGAGGCAGAGAGGAGGGUCUUGUCUCUGGGCAGCCCAGGACCUCCAUACCCCCUGCCCAGACUUGUGCCCCGGGGUGCUGCAAACCCAGCAGUUUGACUUUACCCCCAGAGGUGCACUCCAUUGUCUGUCAAAACAGACAGAUGCCAGCAACAACAAUGCCACUCAAAGCAACAUGCAUUCUUCUUUCCUUCCUCAAUUAAACCCCCCAAACAUGUGAGGUAGGUUAGUCUGCCAGGCAGCAACUGCACCCUGGGUCAUGCAGCAAGCUUUGUGGCGAAGUGGGAAUCUGAACCCGGAUCUCCCCAGCACUCUAACCACUACACCGCACUGCCUUGUCUCCCCACUGGCUACUUUCUGCCUCUUCUUCCAGCAGUCUCUCCCUCGUGUCUUCCCAUCUGCUUCUCAGGGGCAAUAUGACUCCAUCCUCUCCUUAUCGGCCGCUGUGUUUUGCAACCCUGAAAAGAGACCGAACAUCGAUUGCCCAUGACCCCUCGUCGUUUCAGAGAUUGUGGAAUCUGCAGCACAAGAGAAGGAACAGAACAUGAAGUUAGCUGUCUGCGUGUUUAAGAAACGGGAGAUUAAAUGUAAUUGCGGUGGGUAAAUUUGCUUAGCACUUAGAAGCAAUUGCUGCCAUUGUUUCGCUCUAACCUUUGGGCCACGCUGCCUCUGGGCUCCACUUUUUACCUGCAGAGGGAGAGGGAUGGUUUGAAAAAAAGUUUUCGGCACACCGCUGGCAUCUUCUCUGAGCACAUUAAUCCUGCCCUGAAGCCCAGGACGUUCUAACAGGUCACAAAACAAAACAUUUUCAGAACAGGUAAAACUUCACACCUGACAAAGCUUGAAUCCGGUUCAGACUGACCCAAAAUUACUGUGUCUCAUUGAUGGCAUCUCCUGAAUUUCCCUUUUGGAGAUGCCAAGGGGGGAGAACAGAAUGUUACGCCCCUGAAUUACUAUAUUCUCGGAAGGGAUUUAGCUUAGUGGUAGAACACCUGCUUUUUCAUGCAGAAGGUGCCAGGAUCAGUCCCUGGCAUCUCUUGGUAGGGCUGAGAUAGACCCCUGCCUAAAAGCCUGGAAAGCUGCUGCCAGCCUGCGCAGGUAAUACUGAACUAAAUGGACCCAGUGGUCUGAACCAGUAUCAGGCAUCUUCCUGGGUUCAUAUGAUUGCAUAGAAGCAAGGCAGGAAUCUCAGCUAAAGGAUCCAUGAUAGAUGACCAUCCUCUCCAACAUACAGCGGUACCUUGGUUCUCAAACUUAAUCCGUUCCAGAAGUCCGUUCCAAAACCAAAGCGUUCCAAAACUCAAGGUGCGCUUUCCCAAAGAAAGUACAGUCAUACCUCGGGUUACAGACGCUUCAGGUUGCGUUUUUUCAGGUUACGGACGUACCGAAACCCGGAAGUACCGGAAUGGGUUACUUCCGGGUUUCGGCGGUCGAGCAUGCGCAGAAGCGCUAAAUUGCGCUUUGUGCAUGUGCAGAAGCACUGAAACGCAAACCGUGCGUGCACAGAUGCGCUGCUCCCGCACAGAUCACGUUCGCAACCCGAGCGUCCACUGUAUUGUAAAACAGAUUACAAUGGUACCUCAGGUUAAGUAUUUAAUUCGUUCCGGAGGUCUGUUCUUAACCUGAAACUGUUCUUAACCUGAAGCACCACUUUAGCUAAUGGGGCCUCCGGCUGCUGCUGCGCCGCCGGAACACGAUUUCUGUUCUCAUCCUGAAGUAAAGUGCUUAACCUGAAGCACUAUUUCUGGGUUAACAGAGUCUGUAACCUGAAACGUAUGUAACCCGAGGUACCACUGUAAUCCGUUCCAGACUUUUAAAAACAACCCCCAAAACAGGAAUUUAACAUGAUUUUACUAUCUAACGAGACCAUUGAUCCAUAAAACGAAAGCAAUGAACAAUGUACUGCAGUCACACAAUCAAUCGGUAGCUGAAGUGGGUUCCACACAGUCACAAAAACGAAACCAAAAGAGCCGCAGAAACAAAAUUGCAAAAUAAAUAGCAAAAACAGACAGACCUCAGUGUGGCAGUCAAAACAGAAGCGUGACACUCAAAAUGGAGCACUUUUGGCUUCCAAAAAAAGUUCGCAAACCAGAACACAUACUUCCGGGUUUGCACUGUUUGGGUUCCAAGUUGUUUGAGUACCAAGGCGUUUGAGAACCAAGGUACCACUGUAUGGAAACAGAUUUUGCAUUGACCCAAUAACAGUGCUUUGGUGAUGUGUUCAUACUGGACCAUCCACACGUCAUUCCACUUUACCAGUUAUUCUGGGAUGCUUCCCUAACAUUAUUAUACUGUGGUCACCUGGGUGGGGCAGUCUUGUGGCGGCCAGGGGCUGGAGUUCAUUGUGGAAGUUGGGAGUUGCCAGGAUGCCCCUAUUGCCCUCAGAGAACUACAAUUCCCAGAGUUCCCCAGGAAGGGGGGGUUGGUUGUUAAGCCAGUCGAGAAAUUGUAGUCCCGGGAGGGGAAUCAGGCGGUCUCCUAAUACCUCUCAAACUACCUUAUCAAACGGCAGGAUUCUUUGGAGGAAGCUGUGACUAUAACCCAGCACUGUGAAUGGGGCCUUUGUCAGCUGGAGAUCACCUUGUGCUGGUCAAGCAUCGGAGCUUCCUUCCUAGCCUUUAUCAUAGAAUCGUAGAGUUGGCAGGGACCCCGAGGGUCAUCCAGUCCAACCCCUUGCAACUGAAGCAUCCAUGGCAAGUGGCCAACCCACUUCUGCUUAAAAACCUCCAAGGAACCACCUUCCAAGGGAGUCUGUUCCCAUUGUUGAACAGCUCUUACUGUCUAGGGCUGCUCCUGGUAUGCCCCGUGGAGGACCUUAAGGUCCACAAAUGACAAUAUUUUGGAGGUCACAAGUCACAAGGUGGUUAGAUUGGUCUCAACUAGGGCCAGGGCCUUUUCAGUACAGUGGUACCUUGGGUUAAGGACUUAAUUCGUUCCGGAGGUCCGUACUUAACCUGAAACUGUUCUUAACCUGAAGCACCACUUUAGCUAAUGGGGCCUCCUGCUGCUGCCGCGCCGCCGGAGCACAAUUUCUAUUCUCAUCCUGAAGCAAAGUUCUUAACCUGAAGCACUAUUUCUGGGUUAGCGGAGUCUGUAACCUGAAGCGUAUGUAACCCGAGGUACCGCUGUACUGGCCCCGACUUGGUGGAACGCUCUGUCACAAGAGACCAGGACCCUGCAGGACUUGACAUCUUUCUGCAGGGCCUGCAAGACAGAGCUGGUCCGCCUGGCCUUUGGUUUGGACUCAGUCUGACCCUUAUGUUUCCCUUCCCUAAUGGUUUUGAUCUAUGGGCUACUUUUAAAAUGAGGCUGGAUUUUAAACUGCAUUUUAACCUGUAUUUUAAAUUGGUCCCUCCCCAUUAUGUAUUUACUGUAAUUUUUACUGUUGUUAGCCGCCCUGAGCCUGGCUCUGCCCAGGGAGGGUGGGGUAUAAAUAAAACAACUUCUUCUUCUUUUACUUCUUCUUCUUCUUCUUCUUCUUUGCAGAAUUUUCUAGACAUAGGCGGAAUACAGCAGUUGGAAACAGUGUCCGUGUGGGAAUCGGUGAGAUGUAUCCAU
This 18607-nucleotide long non-coding RNA is filed under the name Podarcis lilfordi (Lilford's wall lizard). The record is from RNAcentral. Lineage: Eukaryota; Metazoa; Chordata; Lepidosauria; Squamata; Lacertidae.